RNAcentral lists this microRNA precursor (148 nucleotides) under Tursiops truncatus (common bottlenose dolphin). RNAcentral describes it as "miRNA (ENSTTRG00000024184.1)". The stretch from base 46 to 101 matches the Rfam family "mir-1302 microRNA precursor family". The record is from RNAcentral. Lineage: Eukaryota; Metazoa; Chordata; Mammalia; Artiodactyla; Delphinidae.
CCGGAUGCCCAGAUAAAUCUGAAUUUCAGGUAAACAAUGAAUAACUAUUUAGUAUAAAUAAAUAUGUCCCAUGCAAUAUUUGGGGCAUACUUAUACUAAAAUGUAUUUGUUGUUUAUCUGAAAUUCUAAUUUAACUGGGUGUCCUGUA